RNAcentral lists this ribosomal RNA (468 nucleotides) under uncultured bacterium. RNAcentral's name for it is "partial 16S ribosomal RNA". It matches the Rfam family "Bacterial small subunit ribosomal RNA", at positions 28 to 507 of the family's 1533-position model. The record is from RNAcentral.
GACGAACGCUGGCGGCGUGCUUAACACAUGCAAGUCGAACGGAAAGGCCCUGCUUUUGUGGGGUGCUCGAGUGGCGAAAGGGUGAGUAACACGUGAGUAACCUGCCCUUGACUUUGGGAUAACUUCAGGAAACUGGGGCUAAUACCGGAUAGGAGCUCCUGCUGCAUGGUGGGGGUUGGAAAGUUUCGGCGGUUGGGGAUGGACUCGCGGCUUAUCAGCUUGUUGGUGGGGUAGUGGCUUACCAAGGCUUUGACGGGUAGCCGGCCUGAGAGGGUGACCGGCCACAUUAGGACUGAGAUACGGCCCAGACUCCUACGGGAGGCAGCAGUGGGGAAUAUUGCACAAUGGGCGGAAGCCUGAUGCAGCAACGCCGCGUGCGGGAUGACGGACUUCGGGUUGUAAACCGCUUUCGCCUGUGACGAAGCGUGAGUGACGGUAAUGGGUAAAGAAGCACCGGCUAACUACGUG